CGCGUAGGCGGUGCCACAAGUCACCUGUGAAACCUCCGGGCUCAACUCGAAGCUUGCAGGCGAAACUGUGGUGCUGGAGUAUGGAAGAGGUGCGUGGAAUUCCCGGUGUAGCGGUGAAAUGCGUAGAUAUCGAGAGGAACACCUGUGGCGAAAGCGGCGCACUGGACCAUAACUGACGCUGAGGCGCGAAAGCUAGGGGAGCAAACAGGAUUAGAUACCCUGGUAGUCCUAGCCCUAAACCAUGGAUGCUUGGUGUAGCCGGUACCCAAUCCGGCUGUGCCGAAGCUAACGCGAUAAGCAUCCCGCCUGGGGAGUACGGUCGCAAGGCUGAA
Molecule: ribosomal RNA, 332 nt
Filed under: uncultured bacterium
Lineage: Bacteria
Description: bacterial SSU rRNA
Rfam family: Bacterial small subunit ribosomal RNA
Source: RNAcentral